This 825-nucleotide ribosomal RNA is filed under the name uncultured bacterium. RNAcentral describes it as "bacterial SSU rRNA". It matches the Rfam family "Bacterial small subunit ribosomal RNA", at positions 25 to 885 of the family's 1533-position model. The record is from RNAcentral.
CAGGACGAACGCUGGCGGUGUGCUUAAUACAUGCAAGUCGAACGGCCCUUCGGGGCAGUGGCGGACGGCUGAGUAACGCGUAGGUAACGUACCUUUUACUGGGGGAUAACAUCGGGAAACCGGUGCUAAUACCGCAUAAGUCACGAGUUGAAAUACUUGUGAUUAAAGAAUUUCGGUAAAAGAUCGGCCUGCGUCUGAUUAGCUAGUUGGUAGGGUAAAGGCCUACCAAGGCGAUGAUCAGUAGUUGGUCUGAGAGGAUGACCAGCCAGAGUGGGACUGAGAACGGCCCACACUUCUACGGAAGGCAGCAGUAGGGAAUUUUGCGCAAUGGGCGAAAGCCUGACGCAGCAACACCGCGUGCGGGAUGAAGGCCCUUGGGUUGUAAACCGCUGUCGGCAGGGAAUAAAUUGACUGUACCUGCAAAGGAAGCACCGGCUAACUACGUGCCAGCAGCCGCGGUAAGACGUAGGGUGCAAGCGUUGUCCGGAUUUAUUGGGCGUAAAGAGUUCGUAGGCGGUUACCUAAGUCUGAUGUUAAAGCCUGUCGCUCAACGACAGUAUGGCAUUGGAAACUGGGUGGCUAGAGUGUGGUAGAGGUUACGGGAAUUCCUGGUGUAGCGGUGAAAUGCGUAGAUAUCAGGAGGAACACCUGUGGCGAAAGCGCGUAACUGGACCAUAACUGACGCUGAGGAACGAAAGCUAGGGUAGCAAAAGGGAUUAGAUACCCCUGUAGUCCUAGCCGUAAACGAUGGAUACUAGGUGUUGGAGGAUUCGACCCCUUCAGUGCCGUAGCUAACGCGAUAAGUAUCCCGCCUGGGGAGUACGA